UCUGCUCAAUUGUUUUUUAAAUUGCUGUGGUAUUUUGACUAUACAAAGGUAUUGAAAUAAGAUUUUAAUUGAAUGCUAAGAGAAUGGAAUUUCAGAAAAAAACUUUUUUCAAGUUAAAAAUUGAAAUUUUUUUAAUUUGUGCAGAAACAAUUAUUAAUAUUAAGGACAAGAAGACCCUAUGAAUUUAUAAAUUUUAUUUAAUAUGUAACUACUAUUAAAAAAAUUUUAGCUGGGGCGGCGGAAAAAUAUUUAAAACUUUUUUAAAAUAAAAUGACCCAUUAUUAAUGAUUAUAUGUUAAAUACUCUAGGGAUAACAGCGUAAA
This 323-nucleotide ribosomal RNA is filed under the name Rhipicephalus sanguineus (brown dog tick). RNAcentral's name for it is "partial 16S ribosomal RNA". The record is from RNAcentral. Lineage: Eukaryota; Metazoa; Arthropoda; Arachnida; Ixodida; Ixodidae.